Molecule: long non-coding RNA, 1471 nt
Organism: Physella acuta
Lineage: Eukaryota; Metazoa; Mollusca; Gastropoda; Physidae
Source: RefSeq, a predicted model, not a curated record
AAGCUUGGCCCAAUGUUGUAAUCAUGGCCAAACAUUGGACAAGCUUACGCCAGGGUACAGCCAAGAUUUGUACAUGCUUGCAUCCCUUGAUACCUUGAUAUUUAACCGUUUUUACCUUGGCUGCCAAGAUUACACUGAUUUAUGGAUUCACUGCAGAAAUUUUAGUUAAAUAUGCUUGUUAAACUUAAUAUAUGUUAACUAAAAUUAAUUUAUCUUUUAAUAUCAUGCUCUAAUGUAAACAUAGCAUCAAUAACAGACUACGUUGCAUGUGUUAAACAUUUUGUUAAUCUUUUUAAAAUUGUGUGCGCUACUGCCACCGGCCCCCUGUCGCCCAUUGUCCCUUUGUUCACAUUCCUUCCUAUUGUUCGCAAGCCAGCAUCCCGGUGCUUCGCCAUUUUUCUUAACAAAAGACUUUGUAUCCAGUCACAGUAAAACAGGUAGGCCCACUGUAGCCAUUUUAGUUCAACAGUGAGAAGUAGUAUAACUGUAUUUAUGCAGAAUCUGGAAAACUCGUAUUUUUUUGUUGGAAACUUUAACUUUAUGGGCCUAAGUCAUCAAAUAAAAGUUAUAAAAGGUAGUUUAUUUGAGCUCCCUAUGGGAGAAUAAGAUGUCAUCAUCAUCACUCCUUUGUGGCCCCUGGGGAGCAAAGGGCUGCAACCACACAUCUCCAGCGGACUUGGUUUUGGGCUGCUCCUCUAAUCUGUGCCCAUGAGAGCCCAGCUGUUUUCGCCUCCUCCUCAACCGUUCUCUUCCAUGUUUUCCUUGGCCGGCCCACCCUCCUUUUUCCCUGGGGAUUCCAGUCUAAUGCAUGUUUUGAUGAAUAAGAUGCCUCCAGGUGUUGUGUAUAUCAAUCAGCCCACUGUAUCAAUCUUUUAAUAAAUUAUAAGGUCCCCACUGCUUGAUACUUCACCAAAUACUGGCUACACCAGAAAAUGACUAAAUGUUCUUAACACUUAACAACUACCACAAGCAUUACUUCUGGGUCACUCUGAAGGAUCUAAUCGUUCAAUUACUGAAUUGAUAAAGUUGAUGAAAUUGCUCAAAAGUUGUCUGGCACCUUCUUAACUCAGAGACAUAGGAAUGUGGAUGGAUUAUGACAUACCUUGCACAAAUCAACAACCAGGCUUUUAUUGGAUUUGAAUCCCAAAGGAAAGAGAAAGUUUGUUAUCCAAAACAAACAUGGAAAAUAUCAGAAACCAACAAAACACAAGCAGGCAGAGUGUUAUGGACCCAACUUUGGGGAAUCUCCUAAAACCAAGUAUAAAAAUAGAGAGGUGUGGUUGUGUCUCUCAGCUCCACAAGGGUCCACAAGAAUGAGGACAACAGUGAUUUUCGUAAUAAUUUUAGAUCAGAUUUUAAAAAAAAAAUUUGAUCAGAUGGAUCAGGUUAACAGUUUAAUACAUAUUGCAUUUAAGUGCUUAACGAAAAGAAAAGAUUCUCUUACCAAAAUAGUCUAAGAACAAUGCUGAUU